AUACGGAGGGUGCAAGCGUUAAUCGGAAUUACUGGGCGUAAAGCGUACGUAGGCGGUUGGUUAAGUUAGAUGUGAAAGCCCCGGGCUUAACCUGGGAACUGCAUUUAAAACUGGCGAACUAGAGUUGCGUAGAGGGGAGUGGAAUUUAAGGUGUAGCGGUGAAAUGCGUAGAGAUCUGAAGGAACACCAGUGGCGAAGGCGACUCCCUGGACUCGAACUGACGCUGAGGUACGAAAGCGUGGGUAGCAAACGGGAUUAGAUACCCUAGUAGUCC
Molecule: ribosomal RNA, 274 nt
Filed under: uncultured bacterium
Lineage: Bacteria
Description: partial 16S ribosomal RNA
Rfam family: Bacterial small subunit ribosomal RNA
Source: RNAcentral